CUGAUGCAGCACGCCGCGUGAGUGAUGAAGGCCUUCGGAUUGUAAAGCUCUGUCUUUGGGGACGAUAAUGACGGUACCCAAGGAGGAAGCCACGGCUAACUACGUGCCAGCAGCCGCGGUAAUAC
RNAcentral lists this ribosomal RNA (125 nucleotides) under uncultured Bacillota bacterium. RNAcentral's name for it is "uncultured Firmicutes bacterium partial 16S ribosomal RNA". It matches the Rfam family "Bacterial small subunit ribosomal RNA", at positions 383 to 526 of the family's 1533-position model. Lineage: Bacteria; Bacillati; Bacillota. The record is from RNAcentral.